AAUGGGGGAAACCCUGAUCCAGCGACGCCGCGUGGGUGAAGAAGGCCUGCGGGUUGUAAAGCCCUUUCGGUGGGGAAGAAAAGCCUCGACCUAACACGUCGGGGUAUUGACGUAACCCACAAAAGAAGCACCGGCUAACUCUGUGCCAGCAGCCGCGGUAAUACAGAGGGUGCGAGCGUUAAUCGGAAUUACUGGGCGUAAAGCGCGCGUAGGCGGCUAUACAAGUCGAGUGUGAAAUCCCCGGGCUCAACCUGGGAACUGCAUUCGAGACUGUAUGGCUUGAGUAUGGGAGAGGGAGGCGGAAUUUCAGGUGUAGCGGUGAAAUGCGUAGAUAUCUGAAGGAACAUCAGUGGCGAAAGCGGCCUCCUGGACCAAUACUGACGCUCAUGUGCGAAAGCGUGGGGAGCAAA
This 410-nucleotide ribosomal RNA is filed under the name uncultured bacterium. Its description in RNAcentral is "bacterial SSU rRNA". It matches the Rfam family "Bacterial small subunit ribosomal RNA", at positions 370 to 772 of the family's 1533-position model. The record is from RNAcentral.